CACCCACACAGGCAGUUCGCUCUGACCUGUGCCAUUUGGAGUCUAGACUCCCUUGACAUGCCAGGCUGGUCAUGCAACUGGCCUGGGGGCUGGGAGCUGGAUCCCUGCCACCAGAAGCCUGGCAUCAACUCAUCAGAGGGAAAGAAAAGGUCAACGGCAUUUGGGGAUGCCUGGAACUUAGUGACCCGAGCUAUAAGGUCACCUACGCAACCCUCUGGCUGUCCAGUCCCACCUCCAGAGGUGAGUCACAUCUGGGGGUAGGGGCAGUAAUGAGCAGCUGCUUCUCCCCCUCUCUGUGUGCAGCGCUGCCUCCAGGAUGGGCACAGGCAAUUUGAGGAAAUAUUCUGAGGAUUUAAGGUGAGGCCUGAAUGUGGUGAAGCUGCUCACACCACAUGAAGGGAAACAGAGGAACCGCUGGCUUGUGAGUGGUUAAAGCCACACCCGGCCCAUUUCAAAGAGCAUCUGGGACUUCCUAUCGUGGCUCGGUGGCAAUGAACCCAACUAGGAUCCAUGAGGACACAGGUUCGAUCCCUGGCCUCCCUCAGUGGGUUAAGGAUCCAUACGCUGCCAUGUAAGCCCCAGACACAGCUGGGAUCCUGUGUGGCUGUGGCUGUGGCUGUGGCCAGCAGAUGCAUCUCCUCACUGGGAACCUCCAUAUGCCAUGGGUACAGCCCUCAAAAGACAAAAGACAACAACAACAACAGCCAGAAAGAGCGUUCUUCGUGGAGUGGAAAGCUUCCCGGCCAGUCCCUGCCUGGUUCUUUGAGGGGCGGCAGGCUCAAGAGACAUGACCAUUUUUUUCUUUCUGGCCAAGGGAGCAUGCAAGAAGUACUCAUAGAAAAAGCUGGAAACAUCUUCAGCCAAAGAUGGAUGGAGACUUGGUGGAUAAACAUCCCAGUUUUUUUUCACCUCCUGGCUGGGAGAACUCUGGGUAUUCUAUACAAGCGAUUCAAACCUUGCUGUGUAUUAGAUCAUCUGGGGGAUAUAAAAUUUUUUUUGAUGCCCAAGCCACACCCCAGACCAAUUAAAUCUGCAUUUCUGUCGAGGGAGAAGACUCAGGCAUAUGUGUUUUUUAAAGCUCCCGGGUGA
This 1089-nucleotide long non-coding RNA is filed under the name Sus scrofa (pig). Its description in RNAcentral is "lncRNA (ENSSSCG00070011057.1)". Lineage: Eukaryota; Metazoa; Chordata; Mammalia; Artiodactyla; Suidae. The record is from RNAcentral.